Long non-coding RNA from Hippoglossus stenolepis (Pacific halibut), 637 nucleotides. RefSeq lists it as uncharacterized. The transcript has 3 exons. Lineage: Eukaryota; Metazoa; Chordata; Actinopteri; Pleuronectiformes; Pleuronectidae. The record is from RefSeq and is a predicted model, not a curated record.
AUUUACUUCAUGGAAGAUUUACAGAUUCAUCACAUCCAAGCUGGGUCUCUGCUGCCGUGUCUUCAAGCAGGGAGACACACUCUGCUCUGCAAGGCGAAGACAUGAUGAUGUCUCAGGUUUUGCAAUCGCAAUUGUUCCUGUUUUAUCUUUUCUCGUGGUCGUGACUUUUUGCCCGGACUGUUCCGUUUUUUUCAUGAUGAUGUGUCAGGCCAUCGCUCUGAGGUCGCUCACACUCCUCUGCAGCCUGUCACUGUCUGUCUGUCAGUCUCUGAGGUCAGAGAUGGAGCCAAACUUUCCGACACCACUCAAAAUAACUCCUCGUGCUCAGGCUGCCCAGGGCUCUGAACGUGCUGACAUUAGGAGCAGUCUCUGUACAACCAGAGCGAAGACAGAGUCAUCCAUUGGUCUGUCACACUCGUGUGCGUCCAGCAGCAGCUGUGGUUCCAGUUGAUCGCACUCUGUGUGUGAGAAGAACGUUGCAGUGGCACCGUGACGCCUGCAGAUGCUGCAUGAAUUUGCCUGAAACAUAUAAAAAGGUCCACGAGGGACAAAGAGAAUUCCUUUGGGAUUUUAGCUUUUUCCAGUUAAAAAUAAAUUGAAUACUGUCACAUUUUUGUAUUAAAAGUUUUUAAAGGUU